This 247-nucleotide long non-coding RNA is filed under the name Carica papaya (papaya). Its description in RNAcentral is "long non-coding RNA (CPAP_LNC016098)". The record is from RNAcentral. Lineage: Eukaryota; Viridiplantae; Streptophyta; Magnoliopsida; Brassicales; Caricaceae.
AAGCGGUUCAUGAGCCAAGACAUGAGAGGGGUCCGGGUUGUACUUACGUAGCAUGGAUACGUGGAACACAUUGUGGACCUUGGAGAGCUCUAGAGGCAGUGCUAGUCUGUAGGCAGCAGUACUAAUCCUGUCUAAGAUUUCAAAAGGUCCAAUAAAUCGGGGGUUCAAUUUUUCCCUCCUACCGAACCUACUAAUUUCCUUGAAAGGAGUGACCUUAAGGAACACCCGGUCGCCUUUCUCAAAUGCU